This is a long non-coding RNA of Arachis stenosperma, 747 nucleotides long. RefSeq lists it as uncharacterized. The transcript has 3 exons. The record is from RefSeq and is a predicted model, not a curated record. Lineage: Eukaryota; Viridiplantae; Streptophyta; Magnoliopsida; Fabales; Fabaceae.
CAAAGACUAAAACACCCCUAUAAAAAGCAGGAAAUUACACUCCUAAACUCUGCAUUAACCCAUUUCAAAUUUUCAAUUCGAUUCUCUUCGCUGCUGCUCACGGUGGUCCAACCGUUUUCUCCGCUACUUCUUCUUCACUAUUUCUGCGUUUUCCUUUGUUCGUCUUCAAAUCUCAAAAUUUAGAUGGCUCAGCAGGUACAAGAACUUACAGUGAUAGCCCCUGAUCAAAAUAUGGUACAUUAUCGGGUUACUCGUGAUACCACAGUUGCUAUUGUAAGAUCCGUAAUAGCUUGUUUAAGGGGUUUUGGAGAGGCAGAAGUGGAAGCAAUGCUGAGCGUGGGCCCAGAUUAUAUACCUGUUCCGGUCCAUCUGCAUCUGUGGGAGCCGGCAACAUGUCAAUGUACUCUGGUUUUCCAGCAGCCGGGACGCAUCCCCCCGAUUCGUGGACAAUGGUGAUGAUGCCGAUGGUGACCAGAAGAGGGCAAAGGUUGUUUUUGUCCAUGGAGGCGAGGCGUUCAAGUCGGUGCUGUUAAGAUAGAUGAAGCAGCUGGAAGCAUGGAACAGUUGACAAUAUAAUACAUUGCAAGUUCUAGGAUCUGUCAGAUAGGUUUCUGAAUCUGCAUUCUGUAAUCAAUUUCCUGUCAAAUAUACAUUUUUAUCUUUCAGAAUUCCUGUUUUCGCUGAUGUUUAGAGUUUAGCUAAACAUGAUAUGCAUAGAUUUUACAACUGAAUUUGUGUUUUAUAGUA